This 601-nucleotide long non-coding RNA is filed under the name Musa acuminata (dwarf banana). RNAcentral describes it as "long non-coding RNA (MACU_LNC004288)". Lineage: Eukaryota; Viridiplantae; Streptophyta; Magnoliopsida; Zingiberales; Musaceae. The record is from RNAcentral.
GUGUCCCUCGCCAAGGCCCCGUCGGCCGUCCGCCUCCGUGUCCGCUGCGAGCUCGCCGCCAUCCCCGUGCUCUCCUUCUCCGGGGAGAAGGUGGGUGACGUCCCCCUCGACCUCAAGUCCGCCCCCUCCGACACUGCCCGUGCCGUCGUCCACCGCGGCCUUGUCGCCGAGCAGCAGAACCAGCGCCGCGGCACCGCUUCCACCCUCACCCGCGGCGAGGUCCGCGGUGGAGGGAAGAAGCCCUACCCCCAGAAGAAGACCGGCGGCGCCCGCCGCGGAUCCCAGCGCACCCCGCUUCGCCCCGGCGGUGGCGUCGUCUUCGGCCCCAAGCCGCGCGACUGGAGCGUCAAGAUCAACCGCAAGGAGAAGCGCCUCGCUCUGUCCACUGCCCUCGCCAGCGCCGCCUCGGCCGCCGACGCCCUUGUGGUGGAGGACUUCGGCCAGGAGUUCGAGGCCGGGCCCAAGACCAAGGAGUUCGUGGCGGCCAUGCGGAGGUGGGGGCUCGACCCCAAGCGGAAGGCCAUGUUCCUGUUGACGGAGGUGUCGGAUAACGUCCUGCUCUCCUGCAGGAACAUUGGGACCAUCAAGUUGCUAACCCCCA